CAGUCGCCGCGGGAAUACGUAGGUGGCGAGCGUUGUCCGGAAUUAUUGGGCGUAAAGGGAGCGCAGGCGGACAUAUAAGUCCAUCUUAAAAGUGCGGGGCUCAACCCCGUGAGGGGAUGGAAACUGUAUGCCUUGAGUGCAGGAGAGGAAAGCGGAAUUCCCAGUGUAGCGGUGAAAUGCGUAGAUAUUGGGAGGAACACCAGUGGCGAAGGCGGCUUUCUGGACUGUAACUGACGCUGAGGCUCGAAAGCCAGGGGAGCGAACGGGAUUAGAUACCCCCGUAGUCCCUGUCUCUUAUACC
This 301-nucleotide ribosomal RNA is filed under the name uncultured bacterium. Its description in RNAcentral is "partial 16S ribosomal RNA". It matches the Rfam family "Bacterial small subunit ribosomal RNA", at positions 509 to 808 of the family's 1533-position model. The record is from RNAcentral.